Molecule: long non-coding RNA, 826 nt
Filed under: Pan troglodytes (chimpanzee)
Lineage: Eukaryota; Metazoa; Chordata; Mammalia; Primates; Hominidae
Description: long non-coding RNA NONPTRT002190
Source: RNAcentral
GGGUCACAAAGACUACUUAGGGGCCAAAUCCUCAUUUGAGCCCUGGCAGUCUGACUCCAGGUUCCAUGGCCUUAGCCAUCAUGCUGUGGUGCUGUUUGAAUUUUAUGCAAUAAGGAUGUGUUUGUAUUUUGAAAUCCCCUUAUCACAUGCAAAAAAAAAAAAAAAAAAAAAAAAAAACCUCGAUAAAAUCCUCUUUGAACCCUUUUAUUUACUCCCGUAGCCUUUUUUAGAUUCUAGCUACUGGCUGUCCCCUUCCCCAACAGAACCCAUUCUCGGAAUCUCCGCUAUUGUUCCAAACAAUUCAGCUUUGACCCCAAAGUGGGGCACACUCCAAAAUAAAGCAAAAAGCUAAGAUAGUUUACCAGGCCAAAGCUCUCUGGAAGUCCCUUAAGCAACUAUCUGUGGUUAUCUCAACAUGCCACUGGAAGUGAGGUUGUCACUCCAAAUGUAAAUGAUGAUCUAAUUAUUUACAUAACAAAAGCAAACAUUUCUAGCUUGGGGGUUGGGGGGGAGAAAUUCUCCACUAAGAAAAAAAAUUAGACUUUCUCUGUAUCUUUACUUUUACCAUACACAAGGCACCAUAGCAAGCACCAUGGAAGAUAUGAGCUUGUACAAGAAAUAGAAUGUGGGAGAUGUAUUAAUGAUCUAUUUAUGAUGUUCCCUAUGAUAGGAAAGCAGAAAGUUCCGGUAUAUAGGGAAUUCCUUACAGAAUAUUAUUAUGGGUAAGGGCCUUUGGAAAGAGAUUAAAAUAUCAAAGUAAAUAUGUUUUGGGUUGGAAUGCACUGAUUUGACAUUAGUGAAUCAAAUAUUCACUAAUCUUUGAACC